Molecule: ribosomal RNA, 465 nt
Filed under: Vreelandella stevensii
Lineage: Bacteria; Pseudomonadati; Pseudomonadota; Gammaproteobacteria; Oceanospirillales; Halomonadaceae
Description: partial 16S ribosomal RNA
Rfam family: Bacterial small subunit ribosomal RNA
Source: RNAcentral
CCUACGGGGGGCAGCAGUGGGGAAUAUUGGACAAUGGGGGCAACCCUGAUCCAGCCAUGCCGCGUGUGUGAAGAAGGCCCUCGGGUUGUAAAGCACUUUCAGUGAGGAAGAACGCCUGGUGGUUAAUACCCAUCAGGAAAGACAUCACUCACAGAAGAAGCACCGGCUAACUCCGUGCCAGCAGCCGCGGUAAUACGGAGGGUGCGAGCGUUAAUCGGAAUUACUGGGCGUAAAGCGCGCGUAGGUGGCUUGAUAAGCCGGUUGUGAAAGCCCCGGGCUCAACCUGGGAACGGCAUCCGGAACUGUCAAGCUAGAGUGCAGGAGAGGAAGGUAGAAUUCCCGGUGUAGCGGUGAAAUGCGUAGAGAUCGGGAGGAAUACCAGUGGCGAAGGCGGCCUUCUGGACUGACACUGACACUGAGGUACGAAAGCGUGGGUAGCAAACAGGAUUAGAUACCCCGGUAGUC